Molecule: ribosomal RNA, 2907 nt
Filed under: Salmonella enterica subsp. enterica
Lineage: Bacteria; Pseudomonadati; Pseudomonadota; Gammaproteobacteria; Enterobacterales; Enterobacteriaceae
Description: bacterial LSU rRNA
Rfam family: Bacterial large subunit ribosomal RNA
Source: RNAcentral
UUAAGCGACUAAGCGUACACGGUGGAUGCCCUGGCAGUCAGAGGCGAUGAAGGGCGUGCUAAUCUGCGAUAAGCGCCGGUAAGGUGAUAUGAACCGUUAUAACCGGCGAUACCCGAAUGGGGAAACCCAGUGUGACUCGUCACACUAUCAUUAACUGAAUCCAUAGGUUAAUGAGGCGAACCGGGGGAACUGAAACAUCUAAGUACCCCGAGGAAAAGAAAUCAACCGAGAUUCCCCCAGUAGCGGCGAGCGAACGGGGAGGAGCCCAGAGCCUGAAUCAGCAUGUGUGUUAGUGGAAGCGUCUGGAAAGGCGCGCGAUACAGGGUGACAGCCCCGUACACAAAAGCGCAUGUGCUGUGAGCUCGAUGAGUAGGGCGGGACACGUGGUAUCCUGUCUGAAUAUGGGGGGGACCAUCCUCCAAGGCUAAAUACUCCUGACUGACCGAUAGUGAACCAGUACCGUGAGGGAAAGGCGAAAAGAACCCCGGCGAGGGGAGUGAAAAAGAACCUGAAACCGUGUACGUACAAGCAGUGGGAGCACAGGUUUACCUGUGUGACUGCGUACCUUUUGUAUAAUGGGUCAGCGACUUAUAUUCUGUAGCAAGGUUAACCGAAUAGGGGAGCCGGAGGGAAACCGAGUCUUAAUUGGGCGUUAAGUUGCAGGGUAUAGACCCGAAACCCGGUGAUCUAGCCAUGGGCAGGUUGAAGGUUGGGUAACACUAACUGGAGGACCGAACCGACUAAUGUUGAAAAAUUAGCGGAUGACCUGUGGCUGGGGGUGAAAGGCCAAUCAAACCGGGAGAUAGCUGGUUCUCCCCGAAAGCUAUUUAGGUAGCGCCUCGUGAACUCAUCUCCGGGGGUAGAGCACUGUUUCGGCUAGGGGGCCAUCCCGGCUUACCAACCCGAUGCAAACUGCGAAUACCGGAGAAUGUUAUCACGGGAGACACACGGCGGGUGCUAACGUCCGUCGUGAAGAGGGAAACAACCCAGACCGCCAGCUAAGGUCCCAAAGUCAUGGUUAAGUGGGAAACGAUGUGGGAAGGCCCAGACAGCCAGGAUGUUGGCUUAGAAGCAGCCAUCAUUUAAAGAAAGCGUAAUAGCUCACUGGUCGAGUCGGCCUGCGCGGAAGAUGUAACGGGGCUAAACCAUGCACCGAAGCUGCGGCAGCGACGCUGAUGCGUUGUUGGGUAGGGGAGCGUUCUGUAAGCCUGCGAAGGUGGCCUGUGAGGGUUGCUGGAGGUAUCAGAAGUGCGAAUGCUGACAUAAGUAACGAUAAAGCGGGUGAAAAGCCCGCUCGCCGGAAGACCAAGGGUUCCUGUCCAACGUUAAUCGGGGCAGGGUGAGUCGACCCCUAAGGCGAGGCCGAAAGGCGUAGUCGAUGGGAAACGGGUUAAUAUUCCCGUACUUGGUGUUACUGCGAAGGGGGGACGGAGAAGGCUAUGUUGGCCGGGCGACGGUUGUCCCGGUUUAAGCGUGUAGGUGUGUGUUCCAGGUAAAUCCGGUUCACUUUAACACUGAGGCGUGAUGACGAGGCACUACGGUGCUGAAGCAACAAAUGCCCUGCUUCCAGGAAAAGCCUCUAAGCAUCAGGUAACAUCAAAUCGUACCCCAAACCGACACAGGUGGUCAGGUAGAGAAUACCAAGGCGCUUGAGAGAACUCGGGUGAAGGAACUAGGCAAAAUGGUGCCGUAACUUCGGGAGAAGGCACGCUGACAUGUAGGUGAAGUGAUUUACUCAUGGAGCUGAAGUCAGUCGAAGAUACCAGCUGGCUGCAACUGUUUAUUAAAAACACAGCACUGUGCAAACACGAAAGUGGACGUAUACGGUGUGACGCCUGCCCGGUGCCGGAAGGUUAAUUGAUGGGGUCAGCGCAAGCGAAGCUCCUGAUCGAAGCCCCGGUAAACGGCGGCCGUAACUAUAACGGUCCUAAGGUAGCGAAAUUCCUUGUCGGGUAAGUUCCGACCUGCACGAAUGGCGUAAUGAUGGCCAGGCUGUCUCCACCCGAGACUCAGUGAAAUUGAACUCGCUGUGAAGAUGCAGUGUACCCGCGGCAAGACGGAAAGACCCCGUGAACCUUUACUAUAGCUUGACACUGAACAUUGAGCCUUGAUGUGUAGGAUAGGUGGGAGGCUUUGAAGUGUGGACGCCAGUCUGCAUGGAGCCGACCUUGAAAUACCACCCUUUAAUGUUUGAUGUUCUAACGUGGACCCGUAAUCCGGGUUGCGGACAGUGUCUGGUGGGUAGUUUGACUGGGGCGGUCUCCUCCUAAAGAGUAACGGAGGAGCACGAAGGUUGGCUAAUCCUGGUCGGACAUCAGGAGGUUAGUGCAAUGGCAUAAGCCAGCUUGACUGCGAGCGUGACGGCGCGAGCAGGUGCGAAAGCAGGUCUUAGUGAUCCGGUGGUUCUGUAUGGAAGGGCCAUCGCUCAACGGAUAAAAGGUACUCCGGGGAUAACAGGCUGAUACCGCCCAAGAGUUCAUAUCGACGGCGGUGUUUGGCACCUCGAUGUCGGCUCAUCACAUCCUGGGGCUGAAGUAGGUCCCAAGGGUAUGGCUGUUCGCCAUUUAAAGUGGUACGCGAGCUGGGUUUAGAACGUCGUGAGACAGUUCGGUCCCUAUCUGCCGUGGGCGCUGGAGAACUGAGGGGGGCUGCUCCUAGUACGAGAGGACCGGAGUGGACGCAUCACUGGUGUUCGGGUUGUCAUGCCAAUGGCACUGCCCGGUAGCUAAAUGCGGAAAAGAUAAGUGCUGAAAGCAUCUAAGCACGAAACUUGCCCCGAGAUGAGUUCUCCCUGAGACUUAGAGUCUCCUGAAGGAACGUUGAAGACGACGACGUUGAUAGGCCGGGUGUGUAAGCGCAGCGAUGCGUUGAGCUAACCGGUACUAAUGAACCGUGAGGCUUAACCUU